UAUGAUGUCAUUUAGAGUUCUCUGUCUGCCCUGCGUGGUGUUACAGAGAUCCCGUAUAUACGAACCACACAUUUAGCAUUCAAGUGUUUGCAUUAAUUAAAGUACAAAGAAAUCGGAAGUUACUAUGUGCUGACUAUUUUGUUCUGAUACCAGAUCGAAUUGACGCAACUUUAACAGUAAAUUAGUCAACUUGGCCAUUAUGGAUGGAGAAUCCAUAUGAACAACCACAGAAGGGCUGCAUUCUGUGGAGAAUGUUCAAGAAUGUUCAGGUCUGUGGUAAGAAACAGAGGGGAGAUUUCCAAAGCCAUAAAUAAAGCUCAUUCUAUGG
Molecule: non-coding RNA, 328 nt
Organism: Salmo salar (Atlantic salmon)
Lineage: Eukaryota; Metazoa; Chordata; Actinopteri; Salmoniformes; Salmonidae
Source: RefSeq, a predicted model, not a curated record